This is a long non-coding RNA of Nicotiana attenuata, 646 nucleotides long. RefSeq lists it as uncharacterized. NCBI's taxonomy places the organism in Eukaryota, Viridiplantae, Streptophyta, Magnoliopsida, Solanales, Solanaceae. The record is from RefSeq and is a predicted model, not a curated record. The transcript has 2 exons.
UUCACUCGUAAGUUUUUCUUCAAAAUUUCUUCAUUCCGUGUUUACCUUAAGUCUGUUUAUUUUUCUCAUUCUGGACAAGUGUAGGAAGGUCCAAAUUUCAAGGGUAAUUAAUUUGUCUUGUAAAAUCUUCCCAAACAUCCUCUCCCUCACCCCCCACAAAGCUGAACUCCGGUGGACUGCCGUAGAAGGAAAAUAGACUUUCUGUCUGACGAAUUGAAAUCUUGGCAGAGUUCAAAGAAAUCACCAGCAGUUUGUCAGGGUUGAAGAUUGGCUAAGAGCUGUCCCACAUCGGAGCAUUAACCUAUCUCACUGCUGUCCACUAGUUUGUCGGGCUUGAUGUUUGCGGUAGGAGUCCCACAUCGACGCACUGACUUAUCAAUAUGUUGUUUAUAGCGACAUUCACUACAGCUGAAGGGCACGACCUUACUUGAACAGGAUCUGUUCUAUAGUCUCGUACCAUUGUAUCCUUGAGAUCUAAGGAGACAGAAAACUAAGUCUGGUUGAUGAGGCGUGGCUAUGAGGCUAGAGCGUGAUUAACAGCCUUCCAUGGUCACUUCUGUGGCCUUGGAGCAGUAGAGGAUCGUUCUCAGCUCUGCCUGCAGGUCUGGGAUGGUCUCAUAGCUGUCUGACAGACUUCAAAUCUUUU